UCCCCCAGUAGCGGCGAGCGAACGGGGAGCAGCCCAGAGUCUGAAUCAGCUUGUGUGUUAGUGGAACGGUCUGGAAAGUCCGACGGUACAGGGUGAUAGUCCCGUACACCAAAAUGCACAGGUUGUGAACUCGAAGAGUAGGGCGGGACACGUGGUAUCCUGUCUGAAUAUGGGGGGACCAUCCUCCAAGGCUAAAUACUCCUGACUGACCGAUAGUGAACCAGUACCGUGAGGGAAAGGCGAAAAGAACCCCGGCGAGGGGAGUGAAAAAGAACCUGAAACCGUGUACGUACAAGCAGUGGGAGCACCCUUUGNNNNNNNNNNGAACCCCGGCGAGGGGAGUGAAAAAGAACCUGAAACCGUGUACGUACAAGCAGUGGGAGCCUCUUUAUGGGGUGACUGCGUACCUUUUGUAUAAUGGGUCAGCGACUUAUAUUCUGUAGCAAGGUUAACCGUAUAGGGGAGCCGAAGGGAAACCGAGUCUUAACUGGGCGUUAAGUUGCAGGGUAUAGACCCGAAACCCGGUGAUCUAGCCAUGGGCAGGUUGAAGGUUGGGUAACACUAACUGGAGGACCGAACCGACUAAUGUUGAAAAAUUAGCGGAUGACUUGUGGCUGGGGGUGAAAGGCCAAUCAAACCGGGAGAUAGCUGGUUCUCCCCGAAAGCUAUUUAGGUAGCGCCUCGUGAACUCAUCUUCGGGGGUAGAGCACUGUUUCGGCUAGGGGGUCAUCCCGACUUACCAACCCGAUGCAAACUGCGAAUACCGAAGAAUGUUAUCACGGGAGACACACGGCGGGUGCUAACGUCCGUCGUGAAGAGGGAAACAACCCAGACCGCCAGCUAAGGUCCCAAAGUCAUGGUUAAGUGGGAAACGAUGUGGGAAGGCACAGACAGCCAGGAUGUUGGCUUAGAAGCAGCCAUCAUUUAAAGAAAGCGUAAUAGCUCACUGGUCGAGUCGGCCUGCGCGGAAGAUGUAACGGGGCUAAACCAUGCACCGAAGCUGCGGCAGCGACACUAUGUGUUGUUGGGUAGGGGAGCGUUCUGUAAGCCGUUGAAGGUGUGCUGUGAGGCAUGCUGGAGGUAUCAGAAGUGCGAAUGCUGACAUAAGUAACGAUAAUGCGGGUGAAAAACCCGCACGCCGGAAGACCAAGGGUUCCUGUCCAACGUUAAUCGGGGCAGGGUGAGUCGACCCCUAAGGCGAGGCCGAAAGGCGUAGUCGAUGGGAAACAGGUUAAUAUUCCUGUACUUGGUGUUACUGCGAAGGGGGGACGGAGAAGGCUAUGUUAGCCGGGCGACGGUUGUCCCGGUUUAAGCAUGUAGGCGGAGGUUCCAGGUAAAUCCGGUACCUUUUUAACGCUGAGGUGUGAUGACGAGGCACUACGGUGCUGAAGUAACAAAUGCCCUGCUUCCAGGAAAAGCCUCUAAGCAUCAGGUAACACGAAAUCGUACCCCAAACCGACACAGGUGGUCAGGUAGAGAAUACCAAGGCGCUUGAGAGAACUCGGGUGAAGGAACUAGGCAAAAUGGUGCCGUAACUUCGGGAGAAGGCACGCUGAUAUGUAGGUGAAG
This 1569-nucleotide ribosomal RNA is filed under the name Citrobacter freundii. RNAcentral's name for it is "partial 23S ribosomal RNA". It matches the Rfam family "Bacterial large subunit ribosomal RNA", at positions 236 to 1767 of the family's 2925-position model. Lineage: Bacteria; Pseudomonadati; Pseudomonadota; Gammaproteobacteria; Enterobacterales; Enterobacteriaceae. The record is from RNAcentral.